GGACUACCGGGGUAUCUAAUCCUGUUCGCUCCCCACGCUUUCGCUCCUCAGCGUCAGAACAGGCCCAGAGAACCGCCUUCGCCACCGGUGUUCCUCCCGAUAUCUGCGCAUUUCACCGCUACACCGGGAAUUCCAUUCUCCCCUGCCUGCCUCCAGCCAGCCCGUAUCCACUGCACGCCCGGGGUUAAGCCCCGGGAUUUCACAGCAGACGCGACAGGCCGCCUACGAGCUCUUUACGCCCAAUAAUUCCGGACAACGCUUGCGCCCUACGUAUUACCGCGGCUGCUGGCAC
RNAcentral lists this ribosomal RNA (292 nucleotides) under uncultured bacterium. Its description in RNAcentral is "partial 16S ribosomal RNA". The record is from RNAcentral.